CACCGAAGUCAAGCAUCAUUGGGCGCGGUCAGUACUUGGGUGGGUGACCACCUGGGAACACCACGUGCCGUU
Molecule: non-coding RNA, 72 nt
Organism: Caerostris darwini
Lineage: Eukaryota; Metazoa; Arthropoda; Arachnida; Araneae; Araneidae
Source: the annotation of a GenBank genome assembly